Molecule: unclassified non-coding RNA, 406 nt
Filed under: plant metagenome
Description: partial contains 5.8S ribosomal RNA, internal transcribed spacer 2, and large subunit ribosomal RNA
Source: RNAcentral
GAUCCAAACGCGGUCAAGAUCGAGACGCGACAUGUUGAUGGUUCCACCAAUGUCAAAGUUCGCUCAGAGGCCAUUGCUUGGCUCGAGGAGUCGUCGGGUCAGCGGGUCUGCAGAGUCUUGUCCAACGCCAAGUGCCUUACCGAAGGCGUCGACGUCCCCGCUCUCGAUGCCGUUCUCUUUCUGAACCCGCGCAAGAGCAUCGUCGACGUGGUUCAGGCCGUCGGGCGGGUCAUGCGCCUGUCGCCAGAGAAGGACUUCGGCUACGUCAUCCUUCCGAUCGGGGUGCCCGCCGGAGUGCCACCCGAAGCUGCUCUACGCGACAACCAGAAAUACCAACUGGUCUGGCAAGUCCUGCAAGCGUUGCGCUCCCACGACGAGCGCCUUGCAGCCGAGAUCAACAAGAUUG